This 274-nucleotide ribosomal RNA is filed under the name uncultured bacterium. RNAcentral's name for it is "partial 16S ribosomal RNA". It matches the Rfam family "Bacterial small subunit ribosomal RNA", at positions 523 to 796 of the family's 1533-position model. The record is from RNAcentral.
AUACGGAGGGUCCAAGCGUUAUCCGGAAUCAUUGGGUUUAAAGGGUCCGCAGGCGGUCAAUUAAGUCAGAGGUGAAAGCCCAUCGCUCAACGAUGGAACUGCCUUUGAUACUGGUUGACUUGAGUUAUACGGAAGUAGAUAGAAUAAGUAGUGUAGCGGUGAAAUGCAUAGAUAUUACUUAGAAUACCGAUUGCGAAGGCAGUCUACUACGUAUAUACUGACGCUAAGGGACGAAAGCGUGGGGAGCGAACAGGAUUAGAAACCCCAGUAGUCC